RNAcentral lists this transfer RNA (71 nucleotides) under Marmota monax (woodchuck). Its description in RNAcentral is "tRNA.Thr". The stretch from base 4 to 66 matches the Rfam family "tRNA", at positions 6 to 65 of the family's 71-position model. Rfam says of the family: Transfer RNA (tRNA) molecules are approximately 80 nucleotides in length. Their secondary structure includes four short double-helical elements and three loops (D, anti-codon, and T loops). Lineage: Eukaryota; Metazoa; Chordata; Mammalia; Rodentia; Sciuridae. The record is from RNAcentral.
GGAUAUAGCUCAGUUGGUGGAGUGUUUGCCUUGUAUGCACAAGGCCCUGGGUUCAAAUCUCCAGUAAACCA